GCUGGGCAUGGUGGCGCAUGCCUAUAAUCCCAGCUACUCGGGAGGCGGAGGCAGGAGAAUCACUCGAGCCCGGGAGGCGGAGGUUGCAGUGACCCAAGAUCACUGCGCUCCAGCCUGAGCGACAGAGUGAGACUUUGUCUCAA
This 143-nucleotide non-coding RNA is filed under the name Callithrix jacchus (white-tufted-ear marmoset). Lineage: Eukaryota; Metazoa; Chordata; Mammalia; Primates; Cebidae. The record is from Rfam by way of RNAcentral.